GUAGUCUCGCACAGAUGCAUAUCAAUAAGCGGAGGAAAAGAAACUAACUAGGAUUCCCUCAGUAACGGCGAGUGAAGCGGGAAGAGCUCAAAUUUGAAAUCUUCAAGGUUCUACCUUGACGAAUUGUAGUUUAAAGAAGUGUUUUCUGUUGGAGUUUUGGUAAAAGUUCUUUGGAAUAGGACAUCAUAGAGGGUGAGAAUCCCGUAUUUGACCAUUAUUUCCAGCUUUGUGAUACACUUUCAAAGAGUCGGAUUGUUUGGGAAUGCAGUCCAAAAUGGGUGGUAAAUUUCAUCUAAAGCUAAAUACUGGCGAGAGACCGAUAGCGAACAAGUACCGUGAGGGAAAGAUGAAAAGAACUUUGAAAAGAGAGUUAAACAGUACGUGAAAUUGUCAGAAGGGAAGCGUUUGACACCAGUGUUGUUUUUCUGAAAAUCAAUUAAAAGAACUGUUUAUGCUAGCUGUUGUAUGACUUUAUCAGCUAUCUGCACUCUUAGUUCUUGAUCUUUUCUUUAAUGCACUUUUCAGUUUAACAAGUCAACAUCAAUUUCUUUUGUUGUAAAAGGGUCAUUGGAAGGUGGCUUUCUUUUCGGAGAAAGUGUUUAUAGCCUUUGGCCUCUGCAAUCGGAGAGAUUGAGGUCUGCAGCGUAGAUCCUUCGGGGUUAGAUACAUUUGUGCUAAGUUAUAGCCUUACAUAGACAACUUGUUGACUAUGAUCAGUCAUGUAGCUUACUCGCUUAUGCUAUUUUACCUACGCUUAGGAUGUUGAAGUCAUCGUAUCGCGC
Molecule: ribosomal RNA, 782 nt
Filed under: uncultured Neocallimastigales
Lineage: Eukaryota; Fungi; Neocallimastigomycota; Neocallimastigomycetes; Neocallimastigales
Description: partial large subunit ribosomal RNA
Rfam family: Eukaryotic large subunit ribosomal RNA
Source: RNAcentral